UUUUAGUCCAUUAGAUCAAGGUUCAUUCAUAUUGCUUAGCAUUUGAGCAAGUAACAUAAAUCAUUGUUUCAUUUAAACCAAGUCAUUAUUCACUCAAAACCUCUUUUACAUUGCAUUUCAUCAAGUCAUCAAAUACAAGUCCUUACAUUUACAUCAUACAAUAAGAAAACUCUAGUUUCUAACCUACAAUUGACGUUAGUCAAUUGUACACCUUUUUGUCAACUAGUUGACCAAAAUCAACCAUUUCUCCCUAAGGUCCUUAAGUCACCAUCUUGAUCUUCAAGCCUUGAUAUCACAAUCCUCAAGUGUCUAUGCCAAACAAAACCUACAAAAGAACCAUCCCAUACAAUUAGGUCACCAAACAUUUUUUUCAAUACACUUCUUAACACAAAUCAAGCUAAGUAAUUGAAGCUCUAAUACUCAUUGAAAACAUAAAAUUUUCCAAUUAGCCCAUGGCCUCAAUUUAACCUAACAUGACAUUACCAUUUGAUUAAUAAAACAAGUGCAUCAUUAACCUAGCUUAAUCCAUAAUCCAAUUUUCAAAAGAUCCUAUCAUUCAUUACAUAAUCCAACCAUUUAAAAUUGGCAUCUCAUACAUAAUUCAAACCAUUCCCAUGUACACAAUCCAAACAGUCCAAAUAGCAUCCUUCAAUAAACCACAUCCAAACUUCUCAUUACAAAUCAAUAACACAUUUCCUUAUAUUCAAAUUAUCAAACCAUUUCAUUCUACAAUUCAACCAAGCAAGCCAUACAUAUUCAAACAUACAAAUAUUCAUAACGCUCCAUUCCAUAAAUCCACAUUCCAUAACAUUUGUGUCCAACAAGUAGCAUAAUUAAUUUAACUUGCCAAGCAUAGACAAUGAUACCAUAACAGAAGGAACCCAAAACAGUUCAUACACAGCCUUUAGGUGUUUCUAACAACUUAACAUAGCCAUUGAAAAAAGCAUAACAAUUGAAACACAUACACCUGCAAAAUUCCUUCUAACAAGGCAUGGACAAGACUCUUCAUAACUAACGACUCCCACUUGCAAAUUGAUUCUAACAGGCAAAAACAAUUAAUAGAAAAACCAGCAAAAACAAUUUCACACUGCACAUUUCUUCAACAGGACGUCAGUUGGAAGUUCCUUCAUAACUAACGCAUCUACCCUGCAAUUUUGGUUUAACAGAACAAAUGAGAGUCCACAAUAACUAACCUAGAUGAACACACAGAAUCCUAAUUAACACUAUAACAGAUUUUCUAAUUUCUAACUAACUCGACGUGCAUUUCAGAUGGAUUUGGAUUUGCAUUUCUAACUGAACUUGAGAACCAAAACUCUAUAAAUACAUAUCACUCUCCACUCAUUCAAAGGGCAGCAAUCACAAAAUCACAAAUCAUGAAUCAAAUCACCAUUCUUGCAUCAAUGCAAUUCUCGGAAGCACUCUUCACUCUCAUUGAUUCUUCAGAACUCUCAGAUUUCACCUCCCUCAAUCCCUCACGCAACAACUUACCACGAUUCAAGCAACAACUUCGCAAGCGUAACAAAACUUGUAAACAGAAAGGGGAGAAGAAAGAGUGAAUUGAAGCAAAGCAAGGAGGAAGAAAAGAUUCGAUAUCUGUUGUCACCGGUAGCCACCGCGUCGGAGCUCCGUUUCAGUAGGUCAUUCUUCUCCUUCUUGUUCAUCGUUUAUGCGCAUUGAUUUGAGUGGAUGAAUUCGAUUUUGGGUUCAGAGUUGUUUUCUUCUUGAUUGUUGCGUUUGAACGUGAGAGCUUGAGAACACGUGAAAAUGGUGAAAUGAGUUUGUUCAAUUGUUCAUACGCUGAUGCUUAGUCUCGAUGCGUGUUGUGUCAAC
Molecule: long non-coding RNA, 1830 nt
Filed under: Lathyrus oleraceus (garden pea)
Lineage: Eukaryota; Viridiplantae; Streptophyta; Magnoliopsida; Fabales; Fabaceae
Description: Pisum sativum (pea) long non-coding RNA (PSAT_LNC007905)
Source: RNAcentral